RNAcentral lists this ribosomal RNA (400 nucleotides) under phytoplankton environmental sample. RNAcentral's name for it is "partial small subunit ribosomal RNA". It matches the Rfam family "Eukaryotic small subunit ribosomal RNA", at positions 587 to 988 of the family's 1831-position model. The record is from RNAcentral.
AGCUCCAAUAGCGUAUAUUAAAGUUGUUGCAGUUAAAAAGCUCGUAGUUGGAUUUCUGGCAGGAGCGGCCGGCCGCGCGCUCUGCGCGUGAGUUUGUGCUGUCUCUGGCCAUCCUCGGGGAGAUCGCGUUUGGCAUUAAGUUGUCGGACGUGGGAUACCCGUCGUUUACUGUGAAAAAAUUAGAGUGUUUAAAGCAGGCUUAUGCCGUUGAAUAUAUUAGCAUGGAAUAAUAAGAUAGGACUUCGGAACUAUUUUGUUGGUUUGCGUUACGAAGUAAUGAUUAAUAGGGACAGUUGGGGGUAUUCGUAUUUCGUUGUCAGAGGUGAAAUUCUUGGAUUUCCGAAAGACGAACUACUGCGAAAGCAUUUACCAAGGAUGUUUUCAUUAAUCAAGAACGAAA